UACGAGGGCGCAAGCGUUGUCCGGAAUUAUUGGGCGUAAAGAGCUCGUAGGCGGCCUGUUGCGUCCGCUGUGAAAUCCCGGGGCUCAACCCCGGGCCUGCAGUGGAUACGGGCUGGCUGGAGGCAGGCAGGGGAGAACGGAAUUCCUGGUGUAGCGGUGAAAUGCGUAGAUAUCAGGAGGAACACCGAUGGCGAAGGCAGGUCUCUGGGCUGACACUGACGCUCAUGCACGAAAGCGUGGGGAGCAAACAGG
Molecule: ribosomal RNA, 252 nt
Filed under: uncultured bacterium
Lineage: Bacteria
Description: partial 16S ribosomal RNA
Rfam family: Bacterial small subunit ribosomal RNA
Source: RNAcentral